GCCAGGCAUGGUGUCACACACCUGUAGUCCCAGCUACUUGGGAGGCUGAGGUGGGAGGAUUGCUUGAGCCCGGGAGAUCAAGGCUGCAGUGAGCUAUGAUCACACCACUGCACUCCUGCCUGGGCAACAAAGUGAGACCCUGCCUCAA
Molecule: non-coding RNA, 148 nt
Filed under: Nomascus leucogenys (northern white-cheeked gibbon)
Lineage: Eukaryota; Metazoa; Chordata; Mammalia; Primates; Hylobatidae
Source: Rfam by way of RNAcentral